Molecule: ribosomal RNA, 620 nt
Filed under: uncultured Campylobacterota bacterium
Lineage: Bacteria; Pseudomonadati; Campylobacterota
Description: bacterial SSU rRNA
Rfam family: Bacterial small subunit ribosomal RNA
Source: RNAcentral
ACGAUGAUGGAGAGCUUGCUCUCCUGAUUAGUGGCGCACGGGUGAGUAUACCAUAGAUAAUGUACCUCUUAGUUCGGGAUAGCCACUGGAAACGGUGAUUAAUACCGGAUACUCCUUCUUGUCUCAAGGCAAGUCGGGAAAGUUUUUUCGCUAAGAGAUCAGUCUAUGUCCUAUCAGCUAGUUGGUGAGGUAAUGGCUCACCAAGGCUAUGACGGGUAUCUGGUUUGAGAGGAUGAUCAGACACACUGGAACUGAGACACGGUCCAGACUCCUACGGGAGGCAGCAGUGAGGAAUAUUGCACAAUGGAGGAAACUCUGAUGCAGCAACGCCGCGUGGAGGAUGACGCAUUUCGGUGUGUAAACUCCUUUUAAGAGGGAAGAUAAUGACGGUACCUCUUGAAUAAGCACCGGCUAACUCCGUGCCAGCAGCCGCGGUAAUACGGAGGGUGCAAGCGUUACUCGGAAUCACUGGGCGUAAAGGGUGCGUAGGCUGGCUUUUAAGUCAGAUGUGAAAUCCAAUGGCUUAACCAUUGAACUGCAUUUGAAACUGGGAGCCUAGAGUUCAGAAGGGGCAGAUGGAAUUAGUGGUGUAGGGGUAAAAUCCGUAGAUAUCACUAGGA